Molecule: transfer RNA, 72 nt
Filed under: Candidatus Azambacteria bacterium
Lineage: Bacteria; Candidatus Azamiibacteriota
Description: tRNA-Met
Rfam family: tRNA
About the family: Transfer RNA (tRNA) molecules are approximately 80 nucleotides in length. Their secondary structure includes four short double-helical elements and three loops (D, anti-codon, and T loops).
Source: RNAcentral
GCCAGUGUAGUUCAAUGGUGAGAACGGGGGACUCAUAAGCCCUAGAUGGAGGUUCGAUUCCUCCCACUGGCA